Molecule: long non-coding RNA, 1632 nt
Organism: Denticeps clupeoides (denticle herring)
Lineage: Eukaryota; Metazoa; Chordata; Actinopteri; Clupeiformes; Denticipitidae
Source: Ensembl
GAGUGGAUCACUGUCACUUAGCCCCACCCAAAAGAAGAGAGGAGCCAGUCACCGCUCAGCAUCAUGCUGGACCCCACCCAUUGUCCACAGCAGGAACAGUCUGAUUGGAUCAAGAGACUCAAUCCAGGCUUACAAACACCUGAAGGAGCUUGAGCCAGCAGAAACAGAUUCAGAGACCAUGAAACGGUGCAAAUCCCAGAUGACCAGGGACCACCACCACAGCGCGAUUCUCAGUGUACAGGUUGAAAGUUCUCCUCGCCAGCUCCUCACAAUGGCAGCGCCUUCAGUCGUGCCGUGUACCCGCCUGGACCAGGGGAUGGUGGUGCUGCCACUGUCACCCCUGGCUAACCGCACUCCUCCCGUUCCCAUCAUCCCGUCUGUCCAGGGGCAGAAGAACUGCGAGGAAGGACUUGAUGGUGCAGACGUCCACCAGGCCGUCGGCAGCGAAGCUAGAUUGGGGUCGUCGGAAGGUCCUGGCUAUACUCUUGCUAGCCCCUCUAAGACUGUGCUGGGGUCAGGAGCUACAUCUAAACACAAAAGCCUUGUCACGUACAUGACAGCCUUGGGAUCAGGGGCACGCACCAGCCGCGUUAAUACGGUCAUCUCGGUGACUGCGCUGGGGCCUGGGGGCCACAGCACAGAGUACAGGGCGAGACUGUGCCCCGCCUCUGCAGUGGCCCAAAGAGAGGAGCCCGGGAGGGUCCUGCCCCUCCCCCUUACCUGGGAGACAGUGGAGGACACUGGUCUGCAUGAUCCAGUGACAACUGAGUCCAGGGGCGUGGCCUGUGCAACCUCUUCUGCAAGCUGAAUGGACAAAUUUGAGCAGAGACUCUGCCCUCUUGUGCUAGAGAGAGGGUUGCGCCGCAACCUUGCCUUCGGAAAAUUGACCAAUCACAAACAGUGGCUUGACUGCUGAUGAGAACAAAAUAUAAAAAAAAAAAAACACUGAAGUAAUUACAAAAAAAGAUGAAAAAAGAUCACAAUGUGAAACAAAAAAAAUAUAUAUGUAAGGAUUAUGACUACUGGAGGGAUGUUGAGUUAACAGAUUACUGAAAAGAUGAUUUAUAUGCCACUAUUUAACAAGAACAAACUUAGAAGCCAAAUAGUGUGUCAUCUCUAUGUUGUUUCUCUAUUGUACAAAAUAUUAAUAUAUAUGUCAUAAAUCUAUGUAUGUCAUAUAUACAGUAUAUAUGACAUACACAUUGACAAAAUAAAGAAUAUAGAAUAUGGUACAAAUAACUUUUUUUUUGUGGGGGGGGGGGCUCAUUGGCUUGAAUUGAGAAUGUGAAUUGAGGUACAUUGGCACCCCGAGACUGUGACGACCACGACAUUUGAACAGACGCUGGCAGCGCUUCCUUUCAUCCAGCAGACUGUGCUUCAUUGCAAGCAGGUGUCCGGCAAUAUCGCACAGAUCUACAAAAGUGCACGUUAUCAGAGUCACUGUCCUUGUUGCCAUGGCAAGUCAGAUCCUCCUUGCCGACAAUGGCAACCCGCAUCCAUUGAGACCGUCGAUGGAUUUAAUUUUUUUUUUACUUGUUUAUCUCCUGUGAAAGUUCCUGCGCCUAAUUAAGCCCCGGCUCGUUAUUUUGCAUCAACUUUUUUGGUGAAAAAAAAAAAAAUUAUGCAGAGAGG